GAGGGGUCCUGAGGGGGGGACCCCGCUGCUGGAACGGUGAAAUUCGGGGGUCCCGCUGCUCCGGGGGGGGGUCCCGGUGCUGGAGGGCGGCGAAAUUCGGUGAAAUUCGGGGAAUUUUGGUGAAAUUUGGGGUUUCCGGUGCUCGAGGAAGGUGAAAUUCGGGGGUCCCGGUGCUCGAGGAUGGUGAAUUCCGGUGAAUUCCGGUGAAUUCCGGUGAAUUUCGGUGAAAUUUGGGGUUUCCGUGCUCGAGGAUGGUGAAUUCUGGUGAAUUUCGGUGAAUUCCGGUGAAUUUCGGUGAAAUUUGGGGUUUCCGUGCUCGAGGAUGGUGAAUUUUGGGGGUCCCGGUGCAAGAACCAGGUGAAAUUCGGGGGUCCCGGCGCUCGUGGACGGUGAAAUUCUGGUGAAAUUUUGUGAAUUUUGGGGGUUCCGGUGCUCAAAUGGUGAAAUUCGGGGGUUCCGGCGCUCGAGGACGGUGAAAUUUUGGUGGAUUUUGGUGAAAUUUGGGGGUUCCGGCGCUCGAGGAUGGUGAAAUUUCCUGAAAUUUUGUGAAUUUUGGGGUUUCCGGUGCUCAAAUGGUGAAAUUCGGGGGUCCCGGUGCUCGAGGAUGGCGAAUUUUGGUGAAUUUCGGUGGAUUUUGGUGAAAUUCGGGGGUCCCGGCGCUCGAGGACAACGAAAUUUGGGGUUCCCGGUGCUCAAAUGGUGAAAUUCGGGGGUUCCGGUGCUCGAGGACGGUGAAAUUUGGUGGAUUUUGGUGAAUUUUGGGGUUUCCGGUGCAAGAACAGUGAAUUUUGGGGGUUCUGGUGCGCGAGGACGGUGAAAUUUGGUGGAUUUUGGUGAAAUUUGGGGGUCCCGGCGGGUCCUGGUGGCUCAAGGACCCCCCCGAACCCCCCAAUUUCCCUUGCACGAGGUCCCGGCGGCUCUCGGGGGGCUCCUGGCGAGGACCCCAAAAUCCCCACGGGGACCCCAAAAUCCUGACACGGGGGACCCCCAAAACCAUCACGGGGACCCCAAAAAUCCUCACGGGGACCCCCAAAACCCUCACGGGGAACCCCAAAAUCCUCACGGGGGACCCCAAAUCCUCGCCCGGGCCCCCCU
This 1095-nucleotide long non-coding RNA is filed under the name Cyanistes caeruleus (blue tit). RNAcentral's name for it is "lncRNA (ENSCCEG00000005840.1)". The record is from RNAcentral. Lineage: Eukaryota; Metazoa; Chordata; Aves; Passeriformes; Paridae.